UGUCUGGAGUCCCAUGCAGACCAGACCAGAUCCCAGUGAUCAGUGCCAAAGCCCCAUUGCCUGUGGAGAGGGUGAUGUUUGAUUUCCCUGUCCAGCUGCAGUUCAUGUGGUGAAGGUGCUCCCACAAUGUGGUUGGGUGGACAUUCAGAUGGUAAUCUCAGUAAUUGUAACGCCAAACUGUGACAAAAUUACUCAAUUCAUCAGGAGCUGGAUAUUCACAUUGUGUGGUGCUAGACGGUGAAGAUUUGCAGACUGAAAUCUCAAAAUCAUGUGCAGAUUGUGAUUAAGUUGCCUAGUGCUUAAAGAACCAAAGAUGGAGAAUGACUCUGCCAAAAUCCUGCAACACUCUCCCUCCCAGCAUUGUCAGUCUAUCUAUGCCAAAUGGACUGCGAAUGGUUCA
Hemiscyllium ocellatum (epaulette shark) is the source of this 400-nucleotide long non-coding RNA. RefSeq lists it as uncharacterized. The transcript has 4 exons. NCBI's taxonomy places the organism in Eukaryota, Metazoa, Chordata, Chondrichthyes, Orectolobiformes, Hemiscylliidae. The record is from RefSeq and is a predicted model, not a curated record.